Molecule: ribosomal RNA, 264 nt
Filed under: uncultured Pseudomonas sp.
Lineage: Bacteria; Pseudomonadati; Pseudomonadota; Gammaproteobacteria; Pseudomonadales; Pseudomonadaceae
Description: partial 16S ribosomal RNA
Rfam family: Bacterial small subunit ribosomal RNA
Source: RNAcentral
CCAGCACGUUAUGUGGGCGACUCUAAGGAGACUGCCGGUGACAACCGGAGGAAGGUGGGGAUGACGUCAAGUCAUCAUGGCCCUUACGGCCUGGGCUACACACGUGCUACAAUGGUCGGUACAAAGGGUUGCCAAGCCGCGAGGUGGAGCUAAUCCCAUAAAACCGAUCGUAGUCCGGAUCGCAGUCUGCAACUCGACUGCGUGAAGUCGGAAUCGCUAGUAAUCGUGAAUCAGAAUGUCACGGUGAAUACGUUCCCGGGCCUU